RNAcentral lists this ribosomal RNA (734 nucleotides) under Pseudomonas sp. CP_83. RNAcentral's name for it is "bacterial SSU rRNA". It matches the Rfam family "Bacterial small subunit ribosomal RNA", at positions 48 to 779 of the family's 1533-position model. The record is from RNAcentral. Lineage: Bacteria; Pseudomonadati; Pseudomonadota; Gammaproteobacteria; Pseudomonadales; Pseudomonadaceae.
GCUACACAUGCAGUCGAGCGGAUGAGUGGAGCUUGCUCCAUGAUUCAGCGGCGGACGGGUGAGUAAUGCCUAGGAAUCUGCCUGGUAGUGGGGGACAACGUUUCGAAAGGAACGCUAAUACCGCAUACGUCCUACGGGAGAAAGUGGGGGAUCUUCGGACCUCACGCUAUCAGAUGAGCCUAGGUCGGAUUAGCUAGUUGGUGAGGUAAAGGCUCACCAAGGCGACGAUCCGUACUGGUCUGAGAGGAUGAUCAGUCACACUGGAACUGAGACACGGUCCAGACUCCUACGGGAGGCAGCAGUGGGGAAUAUUGGACAAUGGGCGAAAGCCUGAUCCAGCCAUGCCGCGUGUGUGAAGAAGGUCUUCGGAUUGUAAAGCACUUUAAGUUGGGAGGAAGGGCAGUAAGUUAAUACCUUGCUGUUUUGACGUUACCAACAGAAUAAGCACCGGCUAACUUCGUGCCAGCAGCCGCGGUAAUACGAAGGGUGCAAGCGUUAAUCGGAAUUACUGGGCGUAAAGCGCGCGUAGGUGGUUCGUUAAGUUGGAUGUGAAAGCCCCGGGCUCAACCUGGGAACUGCAUCCAAAACUGGCGAGCUAGAGUAUGGCAGAGGGUGGUGGAAUUUCCUGUGUAGCGGUGAAAUGCGUAGAUAUAGGAAGGAACACCAGUGGCGAAGGCGACCACCUGGGCUAAUACUGACACUGAGGUGCGAAAGCGUGGGGAGCAAACAGGAUU